RNAcentral lists this ribosomal RNA (467 nucleotides) under uncultured bacterium. RNAcentral's name for it is "partial 16S ribosomal RNA". It matches the Rfam family "Bacterial small subunit ribosomal RNA", at positions 28 to 506 of the family's 1533-position model. The record is from RNAcentral.
GACGAACGCUGGCGGCGUGCUUAGCACAUGCAAGUCGAACGGAAAGGCCCUGCUUUUGUGGGGUGCUCGAGUGGCGAACGGGUGAGUAACACGUGAGUAACCUGCCCUUGACUUUGGGAUAACUUCAGGAAACUGGGGCUAAUACCGGAUAGGAGCUCCUGCUGCAUGGUGGGGGUUGGAAAGUUUCGGCGGUUGGGGAUGGACUCGCGGCUUAUCAGCUUGUUGGUGGGGUAGUGGCUUACCAAGGCUUUGACGGGUAGCCGGCCUGAGAGGGUGACCGGCCACAUGGGGACUGAGAUACGGCCCAGACUCCGACGGGAGGCAGCAGUGGGGAAUAUGGCACAAUGGGCGGAAGCCGGAUGCAGCAACGCCGCGUGCGGGAGGACGGCCUUCGGGUGGUAAACCGCUUUCGCCUGUGACGAAGCGUGAGUGACGGUAAUGGGGAAAGAAGCACCGGCUAACUACGU